UACGAACUGUGCAAACGUUAUUCGGAAUCACUGGGCUUAAAGGGUGCGUAGGCGGGCUAUUAAGUCAGUGGUGAAAGCCCCAAGCUUAACUUGGGAACUGCCAUUGAUACUGAUGGUCUUGAGUACAUUUGAGGUGGGCGGAAUGUGUCAUGUAGCGGUGAAAUGCUUAGAUAUGACACAGAACACCGAUUGCGAAGGCAGCUCACUAAACUGUAACUGACGCUGAGGCACGAAAGCGUGGGGAGCAAACAGG
RNAcentral lists this ribosomal RNA (253 nucleotides) under uncultured bacterium. RNAcentral's name for it is "partial 16S ribosomal RNA". It matches the Rfam family "Bacterial small subunit ribosomal RNA", at positions 524 to 776 of the family's 1533-position model. The record is from RNAcentral.